Molecule: ribosomal RNA, 506 nt
Filed under: uncultured bacterium
Lineage: Bacteria
Description: partial 16S ribosomal RNA
Rfam family: Bacterial small subunit ribosomal RNA
Source: RNAcentral
GAUGAACGCUAGCUACAGGCUUAACACAUGCAAGUCGAGGGGUAACAUGAGAAAAGCUUGCUUUUCUUGUUGACGACCGGCGCACGGGUGAGUAACGCGUAUCCAACCUGCCUAUAACUAGGGAAUAACCUUGCGAAAGUAAGACUAAUACCCUAUGAUUUCCUUUGAUGACAUCAGAUUAGGAAUAAAGAUUUAUCGGUUAUAGAUGGGGAUGCGUCUGAUGAGCUUGUUGGCGGGGUAGCGGCCCACCAAGGCAACGAUCAGUAGGGGUUCUGAGAGGAAGGUCCCCCACAUUGGAACUGAGACACGGUCCAAACUCCUACGGGAGGCAGCAGUGAGGAAUAUUGGUCAAUGGGCGGAAGCCUGAACCAGCCAAGUAGCGUGCAGGAUGACGGCCCUAUGGGUUGUAAACUGCUUUUAUACAGGAAUAAAGUUAGCCACGUGUGGUAAUUUGUAGGUACUGUAUGAAUAAGGACCGGCUAAUUCCGUGCCAGCCGCCGCAGUAA